GAUGACUGAAGCAGCAGAGAACUUGGUGUCUGAAGAAUGGCUACAGUGUUGCUUUAGUGGAGGGAGAGCCUUGCGGUUGUUGGUGUGACCCAGGGGCAGUUGAACCGUGUAUGGAGCUGAGUUUAAGCUGCUAUGCAGGUGCCCCCUGGGCUUCUCCAUCAGCCAGUCCUGCUCCUCCCCACCACAGCUGCUGCUGAGUACAAGGCAGGAGUGAAGCGCCAAGUCCAGCCGCCUUCCACAGCCUGGCUGGAGGAGGAGGGAGGAGAGAAAUGUGACAAAGUACACAAACUCUGGAUGGAGAAUCAGCUAUGGAUUUCUGAACUAUACCACUACUUAAUUGCAGAUACAAGGGAAAUAAUCUUAACAUGACAUAUUAAAGAAAAGGAAAUUUGACACCCCCCCCCCACAAUAUAGUACUCAUCCUCUGAUCAUUUCUUUCCUCCUAAUGAUCUAAAUAAAAUAUUUUCCUGCAUUUUAAAA
This is a long non-coding RNA of Chelonoidis abingdonii (Abingdon island giant tortoise), 480 nucleotides long. RefSeq lists it as uncharacterized. The record is from RefSeq and is a predicted model, not a curated record. NCBI's taxonomy places the organism in Eukaryota, Metazoa, Chordata, Testudines, Testudinidae.